CACUUCGUUCUGGCUAGUGGAAGAGGCAGGAGUGAUCGAUUUAUAAUUGUCGCGCCGUGAUGUGUUUUUGAAGAUUCGUUGAGUGUAACUUGUUUAGUCGCCAAGUUGUGCGUAAAGUUAUUAGUUUCGUGCGUGUGAAUAAAUUGUGCAGGUUGUGGCAUUCUGCGGAGCCGAACACAUCACCCACCAAGUCAACGAUCGCUUCUGACCCCACCGUCAGCUACGAGGCAUUUUCCCGGAAGUACGUCGACCGGAAGAGGGCCUGCGUACGUUCAUCGCACCCUAGGCAGAGGCUAGCAGAAACCCAGUUCAUCGUUAAAUUGCGCCAACUGUCGGUAGUUCAUCGACGCCGUCGCGUGAAGCCCACAUACCGGAGGGAAUCAUCAGCGUCACGCUCAUCGACGCGAGCCUCGAUCAACGGUGCUCAUCGAAUGAACGACCGUUUGAUUUCGAAUUCCCUCCACCCAAAAGCAUACGCCAAGAAAACCGUGAGUAAAUCAUGCAUGAUUAGAUAAGUCCAUGCGCAUGGCUCAGUUCCCGCCGCUACCGAAGAACUAAGAGUAAGUAGCGUGCCAAUACAUCUUCCACGUGACUGUCCUUAGCCCAAGCGCUUGCGCUGACAGUCGCGUCUGAGCACACACACGACCAACCGUAAUGAACACACUGCACGCAUAGCACUCAACACACGCCCCGAAUGAAGACAGAGGUUAGAUAGAGAAAGAGAGAGUAAGGGAAAGCAAACAGUAGGCCUAGGCAGAGAGGAGAAUGGAAACAUGAAGAGAAAUAUAUGUAUGUGAAAAUGAAUCUGUUCUGAACAUUUGUAGUGAUAUGUUGUUUUGUUAAUGCUGGUAGCAUAAAUGCAGGCGAACCGUUGUUCGUAAAAGUCUA
This is a long non-coding RNA of Armigeres subalbatus, 888 nucleotides long. RefSeq lists it as uncharacterized. NCBI's taxonomy places the organism in Eukaryota, Metazoa, Arthropoda, Insecta, Diptera, Culicidae. The transcript has 3 exons. The record is from RefSeq and is a predicted model, not a curated record.